GAUGAACGCUGGCGGCGUGCCUAAUACAUGCAAGUCGAGCGAACAGACGAGGAGCUUGCGCCUCUGACGUUAGCGGCGGACGGGUGAGUAACACGUGGAUAACCUACCUAUAAGACUGGGAUAACUUCGGGAAACCGGCGCUAAUACCGGAUAAUAUAUUGAACCGCAUGGUUCAAUAGUGAAAGACGGCUUUGCUGUAACGUAUAGAUGGAUCCGCGCCGCAUUAGCUAGUUGGUAAGCUAACGGCUUACCAAGGCGACGAUGCGUAGCCGACCGGAGGGGCUGAUAGGCCACCUGGGAACGUGGACACGGUCCUGGCUCCUACGGGAGGCAGCAGUAGGGAAUCUGCCGCAAUGGUCGAGAGCCUGGCGCAGCAACGCCGCGUGAGUGAUGACGGUCUUCGGAUCGUAAAGCUCUGUUAUGAGUUAAGAACAAAUGUGUAAGUAACUGUGCACGUCUUGACGGUACCUAGUCAGAAAGCCACGGCUAACUACGUG
This 497-nucleotide ribosomal RNA is filed under the name uncultured bacterium. RNAcentral's name for it is "partial 16S ribosomal RNA". It matches the Rfam family "Bacterial small subunit ribosomal RNA", at positions 28 to 507 of the family's 1533-position model. The record is from RNAcentral.